This 537-nucleotide ribosomal RNA is filed under the name Bacillus sp. R37E-1-2. Its description in RNAcentral is "bacterial SSU rRNA". It matches the Rfam family "Bacterial small subunit ribosomal RNA", at positions 117 to 638 of the family's 1533-position model. Lineage: Bacteria; Bacillati; Bacillota; Bacilli; Caryophanales; Bacillaceae. The record is from RNAcentral.
GUGGGUAACCUGCCUGUAAGACUGGGAUAACUCCGGGAAACCGGGGCUAAUACCGGAUGCUUGAUUGAACCGCAUGGUUCAAUCAUAAAAGGUGGCUUUCAGCUACCACUUGCAGAUGGACCCGCGGCGCAUUAGCUAGUUGGUGAGGUAACGGCUCACCAAGGCGACGAUGCGUAGCCGACCUGAGAGGGUGAUCGGCCACACUGGGACUGAGACACGGCCCAGACUCCUACGGGAGGCAGCAGUAGGGAAUCUUCCGCAAUGGACGAAAGUCUGACGGAGCAACGCCGCGUGAGUGAUGAAGGUUUUCGGAUCGUAAAACUCUGUUGUUAGGGAAGAACAAGUACCGUUCGAAUAGGGCGGUACCUUGACGGUACCUAACCAGAAAGCCACGGCUAACUACGUGCCAGCAGCCGCGGUAAUACGUAGGUGGCAAGCGUUGUCCGGAAUUAUUGGGCGUAAAGCGCGCGCAGGCGGUUUCUUAAGUCUGAUGUGAAAGCCCCCGGCUCAACCGGGGAGGGUCAUUGGAAACUGGGG